AACUAUCAAAACACUUUAAAAGAAAAAGUGUUUUGGACUCUGGGAGUGCUGGUCUCUUUUUGAGCCGGCUCUCCUCAAAAGCAUUACUUUGGAGACCAUCAGUGUGAUAAUUUUGUUUAUGCCGCUGGCUUCUCCCUUCUGUCCC
This 145-nucleotide unclassified non-coding RNA is filed under the name uncultured Amanita. RNAcentral describes it as "sequence contains ITS2". The record is from RNAcentral. Lineage: Eukaryota; Fungi; Basidiomycota; Agaricomycetes; Agaricales; Amanitaceae.